Molecule: non-coding RNA, 91 nt
Organism: Podarcis lilfordi (Lilford's wall lizard)
Lineage: Eukaryota; Metazoa; Chordata; Lepidosauria; Squamata; Lacertidae
Source: the annotation of a GenBank genome assembly
GCCAUGGCAAAGGGUGGUAGCUCAGUGGUAGAGCUUCUGCUUUCCAUGCAGAAGGUUCCUGGUUCAAUCCCCAUCACCUCCAGGUAGGGCU